GAUGAACGCUAGCGAUAGGCUUAACACAUGCAAGUCGAGGGGCAUCAGGGUCUUCGGACCGCUGGCGACCGGCGCACGGGUGAGUAACGCGUAUGCAACCUACCCAUAACUUUGGGAUAGCCCGUUGAAAGACGGAUUAAUACCGAUUAACACAGGGGCACCGCAUGGUGAUAUUUGUUAAAGAUUUAUUGGUUAUGGCUGGGCAUGCGUUGGAUUAGCUCGGUGGUUGGGGUAACGGCUCACCAAGGCAACGACCCAUAGGGGAACGGAGAAGUGUAUCCCCCGCACUGGUACAGAGACAAGGACCAGACGCCUACGGGAGGCAGCAGUGAGGAAUACUUGUCAAUGGGCCAGAGGCUGAACCAGCGAGAUCGCGUGAAGGAUGACUGUAUUAUGUAUUUUAAUCUUCUUUUAUGUGGGAAUAAAAAAGGGGACGCGUCCCUUAUUGCAUGUACCACAUGAAUAAGCAUCGGCUAACUCCGUGCCAGCCGCCGCAGUAA
Molecule: ribosomal RNA, 500 nt
Filed under: uncultured bacterium
Lineage: Bacteria
Description: partial 16S ribosomal RNA
Rfam family: Bacterial small subunit ribosomal RNA
Source: RNAcentral